Molecule: long non-coding RNA, 304 nt
Filed under: Nicotiana benthamiana
Lineage: Eukaryota; Viridiplantae; Streptophyta; Magnoliopsida; Solanales; Solanaceae
Description: long non-coding RNA (NBEN_LNC021707)
Source: RNAcentral
AUAAAUCCAUAUAGAGAUGAAAAAACAUGUCUAGAAGCCUAAGUAUCGUAACAAAUAUAGCAUGAUUUUGCUCGAAAUCACACUGGAGUAGCCUAGAACAGACAAAUGGCGAACCCUAGAUGCAAGUCGGCGUGCCUUGGGCCUUUGAAGACCUUAGAGAAGGGAGGCAUAGCAUGAGAGAAGCCAUUGGAGGCUUAGGAGUCGAUAAGAGAUCAUCAGAGAAUACCAGAGAAGAGAGAUUGGCGGUUGAAGGGCUAGGGUUUGAACGUGAAGAGAGGAGAUGAGAGAAUAGAGAGGCAGCGAG